This 301-nucleotide ribosomal RNA is filed under the name uncultured bacterium. RNAcentral's name for it is "partial 16S ribosomal RNA". It matches the Rfam family "Bacterial small subunit ribosomal RNA", at positions 509 to 809 of the family's 1533-position model. The record is from RNAcentral.
CAGCAGCCGCGGGAAUACGAAGGGGGCUAGCGUUGCUCGGAAUGACUGGGCGUAAAGGGCGCGUAGGCGGCGAUCAAAGUCAGGCGUGAAAUUCCUGGGCUCAACCUGGGGGCUGCGCUUGAUACUUGGUUGCUUGAGUGGGGAAGAGGGUCGUGGAAUUCCCAGUGUAGAGGUGAAAUUCGUAGAUAUUGGGAAGAACACCGGUGGCGAAGGUGGCAACCUGGUCCUUGACUGACGCUGAGGCGCGAAAGCGUGGGGAGCAAACAGGAUUAGAUACCCCUGUAGUCCCUGUCUCUUAUAA